AAUCUUAGAACCCUCGGUGCUAUAGACGAUCAGGGGCCCCUUGCGCGAGAUGUAGCGGCGAUUGCGCAUUUUACCCUUACCCGGGCGGAUGCCCUGGCUGUCCUUGGCCUUUUCAGCAUCAGGGAAGGCGCCGACCUGCCUGAGGAUCUUAAUGGCGGCUGCAGUCUUCUCUACGCCCUCAACGGAGUCAGACACCACAAGAGGAAGCUCCGGGACAGACUCAAUGCGGUGGCCGCGAGCGAGGACGAGAGAGGGGACGGCCGAGGCGGCGAGAGCGGAGGCGACGGCAUAGCGGCGCAAGUUGAUGUUGACGCGGCGAUGCCAGCGGCGCCAGGUCUUGGUGGGGGCGAACAUGCGGCCGCCACGGCACAUGUUGCCGAAGGCACCCUGGCCGGCGCGGUGGGUACCACCGCCAGGGACGCGAGGGAUACGAGAGACGGCGCGACCAGUGCCCCAGGACUCGGCAGAGGUCUGGUGGCCAGCGCGCUUGGAGACGGCGUAGGGCUGGCGGCUGUUCUUGGAGAGGUUGGCAUGGACAAAGCGGACGACGUCCGGCCGGAUCGGAGCCUUG
This 571-nucleotide long non-coding RNA is filed under the name Musa acuminata (dwarf banana). RNAcentral describes it as "long non-coding RNA (MACU_LNC002222)". The record is from RNAcentral. Lineage: Eukaryota; Viridiplantae; Streptophyta; Magnoliopsida; Zingiberales; Musaceae.